GGAGACGUUCGGGGUCUGGUGGCCCCCACGGCCUUCAAAGCCGAUGGCGCCGAGCACCUCGGCGCGGCGGGUUCGAUUCCCGUCCGUCUCCGCCA
This 95-nucleotide transfer RNA is filed under the name Saccharopolyspora aridisoli. RNAcentral describes it as "Saccharopolyspora sp. 16K404 tRNA-Sec". It matches the Rfam family "Selenocysteine transfer RNA". RNAcentral also lists the same sequence under 2 other names. Lineage: Bacteria; Bacillati; Actinomycetota; Actinomycetes; Pseudonocardiales; Pseudonocardiaceae. The record is from RNAcentral.